CGGAACGGGUGAGUAACGCGUGAGGAACCUGCCUCAAAGAGGGGGACAACAGUUGGAAACGACUGCUAAUACCGCAUAAGCCCACGGCUCGGCAUCGAGCAGAGGGAAAAGGAGCAAUCCGCUUUGAGAUGGCCUCGCGUCCGAUUAGCUAGUUGGUGAGGUAACGGCCCACCAAGGCGACGAUCGGUAGCCGGACUGAGAGGUUGAACGGCCACAUUGGGACUGAGAUACGGCCCAG
RNAcentral lists this ribosomal RNA (238 nucleotides) under uncultured bacterium. RNAcentral's name for it is "partial 16S ribosomal RNA". It matches the Rfam family "Bacterial small subunit ribosomal RNA", at positions 100 to 334 of the family's 1533-position model. The record is from RNAcentral.